Molecule: ribosomal RNA, 794 nt
Filed under: uncultured archaeon
Lineage: Archaea
Description: bacterial SSU rRNA
Rfam family: Archaeal small subunit ribosomal RNA
Source: RNAcentral
UUCCGGUUGAUCCCGCCGGAGSCAUUGCUAUCGGUGUCCGAUUUAGCCAUGCGAGUUGUACGUUUACCGUAGCAAACUGCUCAGUAACACGUGGCCAAACUGCCCUAUGGACCGGAAUAACCUCGGGAAACUGAGGCUAAUUCCGGAUACCACAUUCAUCCUGGAACUGGAGAAUGUGCGAAAUGCUCCGGCGCCAUAGGAUGUGGCUGCGGCCGAUUAGGUAGACGGUGGGGUAACGGCCCACCGUGCCGAUAAUCGGUACGGGUCAUGAGAGUGAGAGCCCGGAGACGGACUCUGAGACACGAGUCCGGGCCCUACGGGGCGCAGCAGGCGCGAAACCUUUACACUGCACGACAGUGCGAUUAGGGGGACACCGAGUGCGAGGGCAUAGAGCCCUCGCUUUUCUGAACCGUAAGGUGGUUCAGGAACAAGGGCUGGGCAAGACCGGUGCCAGCCGCCGCGGUAACACCGGCAGCCCAAGUGAUGGCCGAUAUUAUUUGGCCUAAAGCGUCCGUAGCUGGCCGCACAAGUUCGUCGGGAAAUCCACUCGCUUAACGAGUGGGCGUCCGGCGAAAACUGUGCGGCUUGGGACCCGAAGAUCCAAGGUGUACGUCCCGGGGUAGGAGUGAAAUCCCGUAAUCCUGGACGGACCACCGAUGGCGAAGCACCUUUGGAAGGACGGAUCCGACAGUGAGGGACGAAAGCUAGGGUCUCGAACCGGAUUAGAUACCCGGGUAGUCCUAGCCGUAAACGAUGCUCGCUAGGUGUUGCGCAGGCUACGAGCCUGCGCUUGU